GACGAACGCUGGCGGCGUGCUUAACACAUGCAAGUCGAACGGGCCUGUCUUCUUUUUUGGGGGGUGGGUUGAGUGGCGAACGGGUGAGUAUCACGUGAGUAACCUGCCCUUCGGUCCUGGAUAACCGCUUGAAAGGGCGGCUAAUACGGGGUGGUCCGGUUGGUCCGCAUGGGCUGGUCGGGAUAGAUUCACUGUUUUUGGUGUUUCGGCGGGGGAUGGGCUCGCGGCCUAUCAGCUUGUUGGUGGGGUGAUGGCCUACCAAGGCGGUGACGGGUAGCCGGCCUGAGAGGGUGCGCGGCCACACUGGGACUGAGAUACGGCCCAGACUCCUGCGGGAGGCAGCAGUGGGGGGUAUUGCACAAUGGGCGGAAGCCUGAUGCAGCGACGUCGCGUGAGGGAUGGAGGCCUUCGGGUUGUGAACCUCUGUUUCCGGUGGUGAAGGCCCUGUCCGUGUGGUGGGGUUGACGGUAGCCGGGGAUGAAGCGCCGGCUAACUACGUG
Molecule: ribosomal RNA, 500 nt
Filed under: uncultured bacterium
Lineage: Bacteria
Description: partial 16S ribosomal RNA
Rfam family: Bacterial small subunit ribosomal RNA
Source: RNAcentral